AGAGUUUGAUCCUGGCUCAGGACGAACGCUGGCGGCGUGCCUAAUACAUGCAAGUGGAACGCACAGAUGAUACGUAGCUUGCUACAAUUAUCUGUGAGUCGCGAACGGGUGAGUAACGCGUAGGUAACCUAGCUUAUAGCGGGGGAUAACUAUUGGAAACGAUAGCUAAUACCGCAUAAAAGUGGUUGACCCAUGUUAACCAUUUAAAAGGAGCAACAGCUCCACUAUGAGAUGGACCUGCGUUGUAUUAGCUAGUUGGUAGGGUAAAGGCCUACCAAGGCGACGAUACAUAGCCGACCUGAGAGGGUGAACGGCCACACUGGGACUGAGACACGGCCCAGACUCCUACGGGAGGCAGCAGUAGGGAAUCUUCGGCAAUGGGGGGAACCCUGACCGAGCAACGCCGCGUGAGUGAAGAAGGUUUUCGGAUCGUAAAGCUCUGUUGUUAGAGAAGAACAGUGAUGGGAGUGGAAAGUCCAUCAUGUGACGGUAACUAACCAGAAAGGGACGGCUAACUACGUGCCAGCAGCCGCGGUAAUACGUAGGUCCCGAGCGUUGUCCGGAUUUAUUGGGCGUAAAGCGAGCGCAGGCGGUUUGAUAAGUCUGAAGUUAAAGGCAGUGGCUUAACCAUUGUAUGCUUUGGAAACUGUUAAACUUGAGUGCAGAAGGGGAGAGUGGAAUUCCAUGUGUAGCGGUGAAAUGCGUAGAUAUAUGGAGGAACACCGGUGGCGAAAGCGGCUCUCUGGUCUGUAACUGACGCUGAGGCUCGAAAGCGUGGGGAGCAAACAGGAUUAGAUACCCUGGUAGUCCACGCCGUAAACGCUGAGUGCUAGGUGUUAGGCCCUUUCCGGGGCUUAGUGCCGGAGCUAACGCAUUAAGCACUCCGCCUGGGGAGUACGACCGCAAGGUUGAAACUCAAAGGAAUUGACGGGGGCCCGCACAAGCGGUGGAGCAUGUGGUUUAAUUCGNAGGAUCUGCUCCUAGUACGAGAGGACCAGAGUGGACUUACCGCUGGUGUACCAGUUGUCUCGCCAGAGGCAUAGCUGGGUAGCUAUGUAGGGAAGGGAUAAGCGCUGAAAGCAUCUAAGUGCGAAGCCCUCCUCAAGAUGAGAUUUCCCAUAACGUUAAGUUAGUAAGAGCCCUGAGAGAUGAUCAGGUAGAUAGGUUAGGAGUGGACGUGUGGUGACACAUGGAGCGGACUAAUACUAAUAGCUCGAGGACUUAUCCAAAAGAUGAAACCAGUCGCUAUUGACAGCUUAAGGAAUUCUUGUUAGACUAUAGUUAUUCAAUUUUGAGUGGAGAAGACUCGUAAGUUAAGUGACGAUAGCCUAGGAGAUACACCUGUACCCAUGCCGAACACAGUAGUUAAGCCCUAGAACGCCUGAAGUAGUUGGGGGUUGCCCCCUGUGAGAUACGGAAGUUGCUUAGCUUAGAUCCACUUGGGGGAGUUUAGCUCAGCUGGGAGAGCAUCUGCCUUACAAGCAGAGGGUCAGCGGUUCGAUCCCGUUAACUCCCAUAAGUUAUGAAUAGGUCCCGUAGUGUAGCGG
This 1547-nucleotide ribosomal RNA is filed under the name Streptococcus equi subsp. equi. Lineage: Bacteria; Bacillati; Bacillota; Bacilli; Lactobacillales; Streptococcaceae. The record is from RNAcentral.